RNAcentral lists this long non-coding RNA (915 nucleotides) under Olea europaea subsp. europaea. Lineage: Eukaryota; Viridiplantae; Streptophyta; Magnoliopsida; Lamiales; Oleaceae. The record is from RNAcentral.
UUACAAUUCGCCCCAGAACGAACGAAUUCUUUCCCUAAGUCUCCCCUAAUCCUCGCUUUGCCAAGAAGAAGUGAUAUCCAAUUCAGCUACAAAAUCAUCAUCAACUUCCAGCUUCUUGUACUGCUCGACCAAAGACUUGGUUCGCUCAAUUCCUUAGGAGGCAUUACGCUUUUUAGCAGCCAUUUUCGCCUUGUAGCCGUCCAUCCUUGCUUGAAGCUCCUUUAUCUGUGCAGCCAAACUGGUCAUCAAAGAGUCUUAAUCAUAACCUCGGAAGAGAUUUCUUUCAAUUCGUCCUCGACUUUGUUGAUCUCUAGAAGCAAAGACUCUUUUUUAGAUACAGUGCGAAGAUAUUGAGUACUCUUGGCCUUUAGUACAACAUUUUUGGCCAGCAAGGAGAGAAUCUCGGAAUGGACAACUUUCAACGUCGCUUUAAAAUCAGCAGAAAGAUUGAGCGACGGAAGUGUCAGUGCUUGCGCCAAUUUCGCACUCAAAUGCUCAAGCUUAUCCUUAUGUUUGACAGUACUAGCCUGACCGAUGUCCAUAUCCAUAAAGGACACAUACUCAAAUAUCGACUGCUUGAGGAACUUCAUAUCUUCCUCUGAAGAAGUAGAAGGAUGACCUAUUGAAGCAGGGUGAGACGCCUUGACCUGCCCCCAGGAAGUGAACAUGUCCUGGAUGGAACGCACAAUCUUAUCAGCAUCCUGCAAAGAAAAUUGCCAACAUUGAAGGUUUUCACUACAAUGAACAAAGUGGAAGUAAAAGUGAAGCAAAGAUUACCUCGUCAGCAAUCUUGGGAGGUGGCAUAUCCCUAGCCAAAUCUACCACCUGUGGCUCCACCACUUGUGAGGACUUUCCCUUGUUUGGGCGAGAAGACUUUGCCACAACGGGCAAACCCAUGGGAGCAUCUGCAAAACU